Long non-coding RNA from Bactrocera neohumeralis, 358 nucleotides. RefSeq lists it as uncharacterized. The record is from RefSeq and is a predicted model, not a curated record. The transcript has 2 exons. NCBI's taxonomy places the organism in Eukaryota, Metazoa, Arthropoda, Insecta, Diptera, Tephritidae.
GAAAACGGGUAUGUAAGAAACCUCGGGGAUCAGUUCGCGUUUUCAUCACCUAAUCGAGUAAUUAUGCACCACUUAAUGCCGAUUUAUAUUUACAUACACUCAUGUAUGUACGCAGUGGGUAGAAGAAGGCAUUAUUCCACUGAGAUUGGUGAAUUGAUAUUGAAGCUAAGGAAACAAUACAGCACUUACAGGGAAUCGAAGCAGUAGUGGCAUACAGCCCAUCCAUAAUGAUAGAAAAUUAUAAUGCGGUUAAUCGUGAGGAAAAUGUAAUACAAAAAACAGUACAUAAAGAGAUUAUACGAAAUGUAAAAAACUUUAAGCCUUAAGCUUUAAGCCCCCUAAAAAAUUAUAAAAAAUA